This is a non-coding RNA of Schistosoma mattheei, 42 nucleotides long. The record is from Rfam. NCBI's taxonomy places the organism in Eukaryota, Metazoa, Platyhelminthes, Trematoda, Strigeidida, Schistosomatidae.
UGCUGAGGAGUCCCAUACUAGGACGAAACGGCCGUCCAGUGC